UUUUUCCACUCAGUGGGUGGAUAGAAGAUAAAACAUUUCUUCUUUGGAAAGAACUUUCGAAUACAGAGUCGGGGCAAGUUGUAUUUUUCAACCUCUUUGCAGUUCCGGAUUGUGUGCAGCUUUGUAACAUGAGCAGUGGAGUAAGCAAAGAGAUGAAUGCAAUCUGAUAACAGCACUUGGAAAAUGGCAGCCAAAGACACUGCAAAUUAACAUAGCUAAUAUUGGUUCUAUUGAUAGGUGGUAUCAAUCUCUGUACCUUCCUUGAGCUUCAGCGAAUUCUCCAGGUACUCAUCUGCUGUGACGCGGACUCCAUUUAUUUCCAGUUUCAAGGUCAUAUCCCUCAGGCUCCACACAAAGUCAGGGAAGAAGCUCACAAACUCAGCUGAGUCCUCCACCUCGUCCUCCUGGUCAGGAUAGGAAUGGUUUCUGCCUUCAAAAUGGAACUGAAGAUAGUAAAGCGUGUUAUGGAACUGACUGACUUCCUGAAACAGAAUGAAGAUAAAAAGUCUAACAUUGAGAAGGAGAUUAGGUUUCAGAAUCCAUCUCCUCUAACUUUCCUCCUCACAACAGAAGCUCCAAGUGUGGCUGAAUAUGGGGACUCUGUAAGACAUUGCUGGUGGAACUCACCCGAUUUCUUCCCAGCCAGCUUGUUCAUCAGAAACAGGUCACCCUGGACUAGAAACUCUUCCAAGGACUUGGUGGGUGUGAAGGAGGGUCCCAGAAAAAAAAAUAUAUACUUCAGUUAACAUUCUACAAAAGCUUGACUCACUGGUGGGAACUUCAGUGACUUUGGAGAGCUGGAACGUUGAAGACCCAGAGCCAAAUUAUCUUUGCUACCUCAGACUCAAGAUCACAUUUAUUGUCCUCUUCUGUGUUUGACCUAAGAUCCUGCUAUCAGGUAUGAUCAUUUUGGAAAUGUACAAACGGAGCCCUGGCUUCUACCACCCAAAGGGUGACAAUGUAGUCAGAGAGCAUCGAGGACUGUUUCCUUACUGUGCUCUAAGUGACCGACCUGAUGCUUCCAGAAAUAUGCUUGGACAUAUCUUCAUCUAUGACUUUUAUUUUGUUCUGUAAUUAAACUUUAUGUAACUAUUACCCUGUUGGAACCUGGUAUUUGGGAUGACCCACACCUGCAAAUUAUUAAAAUUUAAUGCUAACAACUCAACUCUUCCUUUAAAUUCAUCAUGAGAGAAUUUCCUUUUGGAUUCCAAUUUUAAAAUUUA
Long non-coding RNA from Chionomys nivalis (European snow vole), 1223 nucleotides. RefSeq lists it as uncharacterized. Lineage: Eukaryota; Metazoa; Chordata; Mammalia; Rodentia; Cricetidae. The transcript has 5 exons. The record is from RefSeq and is a predicted model, not a curated record.